RNAcentral lists this ribosomal RNA (253 nucleotides) under uncultured bacterium. RNAcentral's name for it is "partial 16S ribosomal RNA". It matches the Rfam family "Bacterial small subunit ribosomal RNA", at positions 524 to 776 of the family's 1533-position model. The record is from RNAcentral.
UACGUAGGGGGCAAGCGUUAUCCGGAUUUACUGGGUGUAAAGGGAGCGUAGACGGCGGUGCAAGUCUGAAGUGAAAGGCGGGGGCCCAACCCCCGGACUGCUUUGGAAACUGUGCUGCUGGAGUGCAGGAGAGGCAAGUGGAAUUCCUAGUGUAGCGGUGAAAUGCGUAGAUAUUAGGAGGAACACCAGUGGCGAAGGCGGCUUGCUGGACUGUAACUGACGUUGAGGCUCGAAAGCGUGGGGAGCAAACAGG